GUAGGUGGCAAGCGUUGUCCGGAAUUAUUGGGCGUAAAGCGCGCGCAGGCGGUCCUUUAAGUCUGAUGUGAAAGCCCACGGCUCAACUGUGGAGGGUCAUUGGAAACUGGGGGACUUGAGUACAGAAGAGGAAAGCGGAAUUCCACGUGUAGCGGUGAAAUGCGUAGAGAUGUGGAGGAACACCAGUGGCGAAGGCGGCUUUCUGGUCUGUAACUGACGCUGAGGCGCGAAAGCGUGGGGAGCAAACAGGGAUUAGAUACCCUGGUAGUCCACGCCGUAAACGAUGAGUGCUAAGUGUUAGGGGGUUUCCGCCCCCUUAGUGCUGCAGCUAACGCAUUAAGCACUCCGCCUGGGGAGUACGGCCGCAAGGCUG
RNAcentral lists this ribosomal RNA (373 nucleotides) under uncultured organism. RNAcentral's name for it is "partial 16S ribosomal RNA". It matches the Rfam family "Bacterial small subunit ribosomal RNA", at positions 527 to 896 of the family's 1533-position model. The record is from RNAcentral.